UACGGGGGGAGCAAGCGUUGUUCGGAUUUACUGGGCGUAAAGGGCGCGUAGGCGGUCGUGACAAGUCACUUGUGAAAUCUCCGGGCUUAACUCGGAACGGUCAAGUGAUACUGUCGGACUAGAGUACAGAAGGGGCAACUGGAAUUCUCGGUGUAGCGGUGAAAUGCGUAGAUAUCGAGAGGAACACCUGCGGCGAAGGCGGGUUGCUGGGCUGACACUGACGCUGAGGCGCGAAAGCUAGGGGAGCGAACGGG
This 254-nucleotide ribosomal RNA is filed under the name uncultured bacterium. RNAcentral's name for it is "partial 16S ribosomal RNA". It matches the Rfam family "Bacterial small subunit ribosomal RNA", at positions 524 to 776 of the family's 1533-position model. The record is from RNAcentral.